RNAcentral lists this ribosomal RNA (696 nucleotides) under uncultured bacterium. RNAcentral's name for it is "bacterial SSU rRNA". It matches the Rfam family "Bacterial small subunit ribosomal RNA", at positions 32 to 715 of the family's 1533-position model. The record is from RNAcentral.
AACGCUAGCUACAGGCUUAACACAUGCAAGUCGAGGGGAAACGACAUCGAAAGCUUGCUUUUGAUGGGUGUCGACCGGCGCACGGGUGAGUAACGCGUAUCCAACCUGCCCACCACUUGGGGAUAACCUUGCGAAAGUAAGACUAAUACCCAAUGACGUCUCUAGAAGACAUCUGAAAGAGAUUAAAGAUUUAUCGGUGAUGGAUGGGGAUGCGUCUGAUUAGCUUGUUGGCGGGGUAACGGCCCACCAAGGCGACGAUCAGUAGGGGUUCUGAGAGGAAGGUCCCCCACAUUGGAACUGAGACACGGUCCAAACUCCUACGGGAGGCAGCAGUGAGGAAUAUUGGUCAAUGGGCGAGAGCCUGAACCAGCCAAGUAGCGUGCAGGAAGACGGCCCUAUGGGUUGUAAACUGCUUUUAUAAGGGAAUAAAGUUAGUCUCGUGAGACUUUUUGCAUGUACCUUAUGAAUAAGGACCGGCUAAUUCCGUGCCAGCAGCCGCGGUAAUACGGAAGGUCCGGGCGUUAUCCGGAUUUAUUGGGUUUAAAGGGAGCGUAGGCCGGAGAUUAAGCGUGUUGUGAAAUGUAGACGCUCAACGUCUGCACUGCAGCGCGAACUGGUUUCCUUGAGUACGCACAAAGUGGGCGGAAUUCGUGGUGUAGCGGUGAAAUGCUUAGAUAUCACGAAGAACUCCGAUUG